CAUACUGCUGCAAUGGCGAAUGAUGUUGAGUUGGUCAAAAUUAUUCUCGAAGCUGGAGUGGAUGUAAACAUUCGGAACAUGCAUAAUACAAUUCCUCUUCAUGUAGCCUUAGCCAGAGGGGCAAAAUCAUGUGUUGGAUUGCUUUUAUCUGCUGGGGCAAGUUGUAAUCUGCAGGAUGAUGAAGGUGAUAAUGCAUUCCACAUAGCGGCAGAUAGAGCAAAAAUGAUACGUGAAAAUAUUGAAUGGCUCAUCAUUAUGCUUAGAAAUCCCGAUGCUGCUGUAGAUGUUAGAAACCACAG
RNAcentral lists this unclassified non-coding RNA (299 nucleotides) under Hevea brasiliensis (rubber tree). Lineage: Eukaryota; Viridiplantae; Streptophyta; Magnoliopsida; Malpighiales; Euphorbiaceae. The record is from RNAcentral.